CUUAGAUUUUUGAUGAUCUGUCAGUGAAUCAGUGAGUCAGUGAGUGACAAAAUGGUGUAACUUUGAUCGAUCGUAACUCCUAAACUAUUAAUUCAAUUGGCAUGUUAUUUCGAACUUAAGCUUGUUCUAAUGCCUACUAUUAUUCACCGAAAACCUAAACUCCUAGCUUUGUCCACGUCGAAGAUAUAGGGGGGGCGAAUGAGCCGCGAAUCGCUUCGAGAAAAGAUGGUACGGCCGUGCCCGUUUUGCUCGAGACUUGGCUGGGGCACUGCCGUGCGCCCAGAUAGUUGAAUCCAGCCAGGAAGAUAACCUGAGAGUCCAGCUGUAAUAGCUGCCUAUGUACCACCACCAUUGACACAAGAAUGUCUGACUUUCACACCUUCCUCUCGACAUACACACUCAACAAGGAGACGAUCUGCCAGCACAGGUGUAAGAAGCAGAUUGUAUCAGUAUGAAGAGGAGCGUGCACAGAGAGAGACGGUGAAAAACGCAGAGCUUGCAGGCAUCAGUGCUACCCUGUUGCAGCUGCAUAACACAAUAAAGGAAUAUGUGGAUAGGAAUUAAGAUUCUGUUAGUGUUUUGUUAGUAAUUAAUUGUGUUUAGUAUUUCUUUGUUAUUAAUUUGUUAUGUUUAAACAGGGUAAUAGUAAAUAAAACUUUAAGUA
Molecule: long non-coding RNA, 664 nt
Organism: Helicoverpa armigera (cotton bollworm)
Lineage: Eukaryota; Metazoa; Arthropoda; Insecta; Lepidoptera; Noctuidae
Exons: 2
Source: RefSeq, a predicted model, not a curated record